RNAcentral lists this ribosomal RNA (308 nucleotides) under uncultured eukaryote. RNAcentral's name for it is "partial large subunit ribosomal RNA". It matches the Rfam family "Eukaryotic large subunit ribosomal RNA", at positions 40 to 350 of the family's 3401-position model. The record is from RNAcentral.
AUAUCAAUAAGCGGAGGAAAAGAAACCAACAGGGAUUGCCCUAGUAACGGCGAGUGAAGCGGCAACAGCUCAAAUUUGAAAUCUGGCCCCAGGCCCGAGUUGUACUUUGCAGAGGAUGCUUCUGGCGCGGUGCCUCCCGAGUCCCCUGGAACGGGGCGCCACAGAGGGUGAGAGCCCCGUAUUCGAUCCACAACCAAAGCCGUGCAAGCGUCCUUCGACGAGUCGAGUUGUUUGGGAAUGCAGCUCAAAGCGGGUGGUAAAUUCCAUCUAAAGCUAAAUAUUGGCCAGAGACCGAUAGCGCACAAGUA